GAUGAACGCUGGCGGCGUGCUUAACACAUGCAAGUCGAACGAAGCAUUUCAGUCUUAAUCUUCGGAAGCGGACUGAUCUGACUGAGUGGCGGACGGGUGAGUAACGCGUGGGUAACCUGCCCUGUACAGGGGGAUAACAGUUAGAAAUGACUGCUAACACCGCAUAAGCGCACGGUAAGGCAUCUUAGUGUGUGAAAAUAUUAAUAGGUACAGGAUGGGCCCGCGUCUGAUUAGCCAGUUGGCAGGGUAACGGCCUACCAAAGCGACGAUCAGUAGCCGGCUUGAGAGAGUGAACGGCCACAUUGGGACUGAGACACGGCCCAA
This 324-nucleotide ribosomal RNA is filed under the name uncultured bacterium. Its description in RNAcentral is "bacterial SSU rRNA". It matches the Rfam family "Bacterial small subunit ribosomal RNA", at positions 28 to 334 of the family's 1533-position model. The record is from RNAcentral.